Molecule: non-coding RNA, 85 nt
Organism: Mycena polygramma
Lineage: Eukaryota; Fungi; Basidiomycota; Agaricomycetes; Agaricales; Mycenaceae
Source: the annotation of a GenBank genome assembly
UCCACUUUAGUUUAGUGGUUAGAAUCACCCGCAGUUUGAUUGUUUAGACUCGGGGGGCCGUGGGUUCGAUUCCCGUGGGGUGGCG